Molecule: ribosomal RNA, 549 nt
Filed under: uncultured bacterium
Lineage: Bacteria
Description: bacterial SSU rRNA
Rfam family: Bacterial small subunit ribosomal RNA
Source: RNAcentral
UGGGGAAUUUUGGACAAUGGGCGCAAGCCUGAUCCAGCCAUGCCGCGUGUCUGAAGAAGGCCUUCGGGUUGUAAAGGACUUUUGUCAGGGAAGAAAAGGGCGGGGUUAAUACCCCUGUCUGAUGACGGUACCUGAAGAAUAAGCACCGGCUAACUACGUGCCAGCAGCCGCGGUAAUACGUAGGGUGCGAGCGUUAAUCGGAAUUACUGGGCGUAAAGCGGGCGCAGACGGUUACUUAAGCAGGAUGUGAAAUCCCCGGGCUCAACCUGGGAACUGCGUUCUGAACUGGGUGACUAGAGUGUGUCAGAGGGAGGUAGAAUUCCACGUGUAGCAGUGAAAUGCGUAGAGAUGUGGAGGAAUACCGAUGGCGAAGGCAGCCUCCUGGGAUAACACUGACGUUCAUGCCCGAAAGCGUGGGUAGCAAACAGGAUUAGAUACCCUGGUAGUCCACGCCCUAAACGAUGUCGAUUAGCUGUUGGGCAGCUUGACUGCUUAGUAGCGAAGCUAACGCGUGAAAUCGACCGCCUGGGGAGUACGGCCGCAAGAUUA